This is a long non-coding RNA of Symphalangus syndactylus (siamang), 429 nucleotides long. RefSeq lists it as uncharacterized. NCBI's taxonomy places the organism in Eukaryota, Metazoa, Chordata, Mammalia, Primates, Hylobatidae. The record is from RefSeq and is a predicted model, not a curated record.
UCAUGUAUUACCAAUGAACACGAAGUCCAGAACAGUGGCAUUCACCGUGGAUCCGUACCCCUCCAGUACACCAUGAUGGCAAGCUUUCAUUCAGCUCUGCUGCCAUGCCAAAAUCUUGUCCUUCCAGGUUUUACAAGUUUUGGAAAAGACUAAUUUAUAGUUCACGGAGCUAUGUACUUCACUGGGAUAUACUGAAAUGGAGACCUGGCCUGUUAAAUUUUCUACAAAAGGGUAGAGAGAAAAGAGAAUGGGGAGGAAGAGAACGGGUGAGGAGAGAAAAUCAGAAGAGGAGAAAGAGGAAAGAGCAUAAUUUUCCCAAAGAAAGAGAAGAACUUACGCAUAGCCACAGGAACUCAUCUAUUUUCAAGGCAAACCUGUGUCCCUGCAGCUGCCAUUACCUUUACCAUCUCAUCAAAUCAGACACUGGGC